RNAcentral lists this transfer RNA (85 nucleotides) under Felis catus (domestic cat). It matches the Rfam family "tRNA". Rfam says of the family: Transfer RNA (tRNA) molecules are approximately 80 nucleotides in length. Their secondary structure includes four short double-helical elements and three loops (D, anti-codon, and T loops). The record is from Rfam by way of RNAcentral. Lineage: Eukaryota; Metazoa; Chordata; Mammalia; Carnivora; Felidae.
GCCUGGGUGGCUCAGUCAGUUGAGCAUCCGACUUCAACUCAGGUCAUGGUCUCACGGCUCAUGGGUUUGAGCCCCAUGUCAGGCU